Molecule: ribosomal RNA, 301 nt
Filed under: uncultured bacterium
Lineage: Bacteria
Description: partial 16S ribosomal RNA
Rfam family: Bacterial small subunit ribosomal RNA
Source: RNAcentral
CAGUAGCCGCGGUAAUACGUAGGUGGGAAGCGUUGUCCGGGAUUAUUGGGCGUAAAGGGCUCGCAGGAGGUUUCUUAAGUCUGAUGUGAAAGCCCCCGGCUCAACCGGGGAGGGUCAUUGGAAACUGGGAAACUUGAGUGCAGAAGAGGAGAGUGGAAUUCCACGUGUAGCGGUGAAAUGCGUAGAGAUGUGGAGGAACACCAGUGGCGAAGGCGACUCUCUGGUCUGUAACUGACGCUGAGGAGCGAAAGCGUGGGGAGCGAACAGGAUUAGAGACCCCUGUAGUCCCUGUCUCUUAUAU